GACGAACGCUGGCGGCGUGCUUAACACAUGCAAGUCGAACGGAAAGGCUCCAGCUUGCUGGAGUGCUCGAGUGGCGAACGGGUGAGUAACAAGUGGGCAAUCUGCCCUGCACUCUGGGAUAAGCCUGGGAAACUGGGUCUAAUACCGGAUAGGACCUUUCUCCUCAUGGGGUUUGGUGGAAAGUUUUUCGGUGCAGGAUGAGCCCGCGGCCUAUCAGCUUGUUGGUGGGGUAAUGGCCUACCAAGGCGACGACGGGUAGCCGGCCUGAGAGGGUGAUCGGCCACAUUGGUACGGAGAUACGGCCCAGCCCCCUACGGGAGGCAGCAGUGGGGAAUAUUGCACAAUGGGCGAAAGCCUGAGGCAGCGACGCCGCGUGAGGGAGGACGGCCUUCGGGUUGUAAACCUCUUUCAGUAGGGACGAAGCGCAAGUGACGGUACCUGCAGAAGAAGCACCGGCUAACUACGUG
This 467-nucleotide ribosomal RNA is filed under the name uncultured bacterium. RNAcentral's name for it is "partial 16S ribosomal RNA". It matches the Rfam family "Bacterial small subunit ribosomal RNA", at positions 28 to 507 of the family's 1533-position model. The record is from RNAcentral.